This 623-nucleotide ribosomal RNA is filed under the name uncultured bacterium. Its description in RNAcentral is "bacterial SSU rRNA". The stretch from base 1 to 542 matches the Rfam family "Bacterial small subunit ribosomal RNA", at positions 338 to 873 of the family's 1533-position model. The record is from RNAcentral.
CCUACGGGAGGCAGCAGUGGGGAAUUUUGGACAAUGGGCGCAAGCCUGAUCCAGCAAUGCCGCGUGCAGGAUGAAGGCCUUCGGGUUGUAAACUGCUUUUGUACGGAACGAAACGGCUCUUUCUAAUAAAGAGAGCUAAUGACGGUACCGUAAGAAUAAGCACCGGCUAACUACGUGCCAGCAGCCGCGGUAAUACGUAGGGUGCGAGCGUUAAUCGGAAUUACUGGGCGUAAAGCGUGCGCAGGCGGUUAUAUAAGACAGAUGUGAAAUCCCCGGGCUCAACCUGGGACCUGCAUUUGUGACUGUAUAGCUAGAGUACGGUAGAGGGGGAUGGAAUUCCGCGUGUAGCAGUGAAAUGCGUAGAUAUGCGGAGGAACACCGAUGGCGAAGGCAAUCCCCUGGACCUGUACUGACGCUCAUGCACGAAAGCGUGGGGAGCAAACAGGAUUAGAUACCCUGGUAGUCCACGCCCUAAACGAUGUCAACUGGUUGUUGGGUCUUCACUGACUCAGUAACGAAGCUAACGCGUGAAGUUGACCGCCUGGGGUGGUACGGCGCGAGUAGUUAACGUUACGAAGAAGUUAGNGGCGNGAGAGNGCGACGGACGACGACGAGGGAGGAGG